Molecule: ribosomal RNA, 253 nt
Filed under: uncultured bacterium
Lineage: Bacteria
Description: partial 16S ribosomal RNA
Rfam family: Bacterial small subunit ribosomal RNA
Source: RNAcentral
UACGAAGGGGGCUAGCGUUGUUCGGAAUUACUGGGCGUAAAGCGCACGUAGGCGGAUUUGUAAGUCAGGGGUGAAAUCCCGGGGCUCAACCUCGGAACUGCCUUUGAUACUGCAAGUCUCGAGUCCGAUAGAGGUGAGUGGAAUUCCUAGUGUAGAGGUGAAAUUCGUAGAUAUUAGGAGGAACACCGGUGGCGAAGGCGGAUCUCUGGGCCAUUACUGACGCUGAGGAGCGAAAGCGUGGGGAGCGAACAGG